Molecule: transfer RNA, 76 nt
Filed under: Desulfurobacterium sp.
Lineage: Bacteria; Pseudomonadati; Aquificota; Aquificia; Desulfurobacteriales; Desulfurobacteriaceae
Description: tRNA-Thr
Rfam family: tRNA
About the family: Transfer RNA (tRNA) molecules are approximately 80 nucleotides in length. Their secondary structure includes four short double-helical elements and three loops (D, anti-codon, and T loops). Further hydrogen bonds mediate the characteristic L-shaped molecular structure. tRNAs have two regions of fundamental functional importance: the anti-codon, which is responsible for specific mRNA codon recognition, and the 3' end, to which the tRNAs corresponding amino acid is attached (by aminoacyl-tRNA synthetases). tRNAs cope with the degeneracy of the genetic code in two manners: having more than one tRNA (with a specific anti-codon) for a particular amino acid; and 'wobble' base-pairing, i.e. permitting non-standard base-pairing at the 3rd anti-codon position.
Source: RNAcentral
GCUGGCGUAGCUCAGCUGGCAGAGCGGGGCACUCGUAAUGCCCAGGUCGGGGGUUCGAGCCCCCCCGCCAGCACCA